This 64-nucleotide transfer RNA is filed under the name Cavia porcellus (domestic guinea pig). It matches the Rfam family "tRNA". Rfam says of the family: Transfer RNA (tRNA) molecules are approximately 80 nucleotides in length. Lineage: Eukaryota; Metazoa; Chordata; Mammalia; Rodentia; Caviidae. The record is from Rfam by way of RNAcentral.
GGGGAUUUAGCUUAGUGGCAUAAGCACCUGCCUGGCAAGUACGAGGUUAUCAGUUCAAUCCCCA